UAAGCAUAUCAAUAAGCGGAGGAAAAGAAACCAACAGGGAUUGCCUCAGUAACGGCGAGUGAAGCGGCAACAGCUCAAAUUUGAAAUCUGGCCUUCCGGUCCGAGUUGUAAUUUGCAGAGGAUGCUUCGGGCGCGGUGCCUUCCAAGUCCCCUGGAACGGGGCGCCGGAGAGGGUGAGAGCCCCGUACGGUUGGCGGCCAAGCCUGUGUGAAGCUCCUUCGACGAGUCGAGUAGUUUGGGAAUGCUGCUCUAAGCGGGAGGUAGACCCCUUCUAAAGCUAAAUAUUGGCCAGAGACCGAUAGCGCACAAGUAGAGUGAUCGAAAGAUGAAAAGCACUUUGAAAAGAGGGUUAAACAGCACGUGAAAUUGUUGAAAGGGAAGCGCUUGCGACCAGACGUGCGCCGGGGUGCUCAGCGGGCGUUCUCGCCCGUGCACUCGCCCCGGUGCAGGCCAGCGUCGGUUUGGGCGGGGGGAUAAAGGCGCCUGGAAUGUGGCUCCCUCGGGAGUGUUAUAGCCAGGCGUGCCAUGCCUCCGCCCGGACCGAGGUACGCGUUCUGCAAGGACGCUGGCGUAAUGGUCCCCAGCGACCCGUCUUGAAACACGGACCAAGGAGUCGAGGUUUUGCGCGAGUGUUUGGGUGGAAAACCCGCACGCGUAAUGAAAGUGAACGUAGGUGAGAGCUUCGGCGCAUCACCGACCGAUCCUGAUGUUUUCGGAUGGAUUUGAGUAAGAGCGUAGGGCCUCGGACCCGAAAGAAAGUGAACUAUGCUUGGAUAGGGUGAAGCCAGAGGAAACUCUAGAGGGGGCUCGCAGCGGUUCUGACGUGCAAAUCGAUCGUCAAAUCUGAGCAUGGGGCGAAAGACUAAUCGA
Molecule: ribosomal RNA, 870 nt
Filed under: Chloridium virescens
Lineage: Eukaryota; Fungi; Ascomycota; Sordariomycetes; Chaetosphaeriales; Chaetosphaeriaceae
Description: LSU rRNA
Rfam family: Eukaryotic large subunit ribosomal RNA
Source: RNAcentral